AUGGAGGCGGCAGCCGUCGCUUCCUGCGGCUCCGGGCUGCGCUACCUGCCGCCGCUCGACCCCACCCCGAGGCGGCAGAAUCACCGGGCGGCGGUGGCGGGCUUGGGGACCAAGCGGCGGCGGCCUCGCGCCGCAGUCGCUUGCAGGCGGCCCCAUCGCGUUCACGCGGCGGCGGCGAGGGGUAGCGGCGGCGGCGCCGGGGACUCUUCUUCCGGUUCCGGCGGAGUAAGGAGCAAAAAACGGCUCGCGGUGUUCGUGUCCAGCGGGGGCUCCAACUUGCGGUCCAUCCACGAGGCCACCGCCGCGUGCGGCAAGGCGAGCAGCGGGGAUGUGGUCGCGCUCGUCACGGACAAGCCAGGAUGCGGCGGGGCGGAGUACGCGAGGCGCAACGGCAUACCGGUGGUCCUGUUCCCCAGGUCCAAAUCGGCGCCGGAGGGGGUGCCGACGGCUCAGCUUCUGAAUGCCCUGAGGGAUCUCAGGGUGGACUUCGUUCUGCUCGCUGGUUACCUGAAGCUUGUACCCGGCGAGCUAGUCCAGGCAUACCCCAGAUCCAUACUGAAUAUACAUCCUUCGCUCCUCCCGGCGUUUGGAGGCAAGGGUUAUUACGGUUUGAAGGUGCAUAAAGCCGUCAUUGCGUCUGGAGCCAGAUAUUCAGGAGCAACUGUGCACUUUGUGGAUGAACAGUUCGACACGGGAAGAACUUUAGCCCAAAGGGUUGUGCCUGUGCUAGCCGACGAUACUCCGGAGCAAUUGGCUGCAAGGGUUCUGCAUGAGGAGCAUCAUGUUUAUGUUGAGGCAGUUGCUGCCUUGUGCGAGGAUCGAAUCGUGUGGCGAGAAGACGGGGUCCCUCUUAUCAGAACUCAGACAAACCCCGAUGCGUACGCCUAA
RNAcentral lists this ribosomal RNA (888 nucleotides) under Triticum aestivum (bread wheat). RNAcentral's name for it is "partial small subunit ribosomal RNA". The record is from RNAcentral. Lineage: Eukaryota; Viridiplantae; Streptophyta; Magnoliopsida; Poales; Poaceae.